RNAcentral lists this ribosomal RNA (623 nucleotides) under uncultured Chlorobiota bacterium. RNAcentral's name for it is "bacterial SSU rRNA". It matches the Rfam family "Bacterial small subunit ribosomal RNA", at positions 440 to 1061 of the family's 1533-position model. Lineage: Bacteria; Pseudomonadati; Chlorobiota. The record is from RNAcentral.
AGGGGAAACAAUAUGCAAUUUAUUUGGCGUUGAUUGUACCUUCCAGAGUAAGCCCCGGCUAACUACGUGCCAGCAGCCGCGGUAAUACGUAGGGGGCUAGAGUUGUCCGAAUUUACUGGGUGUAAAGGGUGCUCAGGCGAAUUUGUAAGUCAGAGGUGAAAUCCCAAAGCUUAACUUUGGAGCUGCCUUUGAUACUGCAAGUCUUGAGUGUGAGAGAGGGUAAUGGAAUAUCUGGUGUAGCAGUGAAAUGCGUAGAUAUCAGAUAGAACACCAAUGGCGAAGGCAGUUACCUGGCUCAAUACUGACGCUAAAGCACGAAAGUGUGGGGAGCAAACAGGAUUAGAUACCCUGGUAGUCUACACCCUAAACGAUGCAUACUAGAUGUUGGUCCUUUUCAGGGUCAGUAUCCAAGCUUACGCAUUAAGUAUUCCACCUGGGAAGUACAAUCGCAAGGUUGACACUCAAAGGAAUUGACGGGGGCCCGCACAAGCAGUGGAGCAUGUGGUUUAAUUCGACGCAACGCGAAGAACCUUACCUAGGCUUGAAGCGCAAGUUAAUCCUGAUGAAAGUUCGGGGUGCCGCAAGGCGCACUUGUACAGGUGCUGCAUGGCUGUCGUCAGCUC